GUCUAUGGCCAUGCUACCUUGAACAAGCCCGAUCCUGUCUGAUCUCGGAAGUUAAGCAGGGUCAGUCCUGGUUAGUACUUGGAUGGGAGACCACCUAGGAAGUCCAGGUGCUGUAGGUA
This 119-nucleotide ribosomal RNA is filed under the name Pteropus alecto (black flying fox). The record is from RNAcentral. Lineage: Eukaryota; Metazoa; Chordata; Mammalia; Chiroptera; Pteropodidae.